This 497-nucleotide ribosomal RNA is filed under the name uncultured bacterium. RNAcentral's name for it is "partial 16S ribosomal RNA". It matches the Rfam family "Bacterial small subunit ribosomal RNA", at positions 28 to 507 of the family's 1533-position model. The record is from RNAcentral.
GACGAACGCUGGCGGCGUGCCUAAUACAUGCCAGUUGAGCGAUGAAGAUUGGUGCUUGCACCAAUUUGAAGAGCAGCGAACGGGUGAGUAACGCGUGGGGAAUCUGCCUUUGAGCGGGGGACAACAUUUGGAAACGAAUGCUAAUACCGCAUAACAACUUUAAACAUAAGUUUUAAGUUUGAAAGAUGCAGUUGCAUCACUCAAAGAUGAUCCCGCGUUGUAUUAGCUAGUUGGUGAGGUAAAGGCUCACCAAGGCGAUGAUACAUAGCCGACCUGAGAGGGGGAUCGGCCACAUUGGGACUGAGACACGGCCCAAACUCCUACGGGAGGCAGCAGUAGGGAAUCUUCGGCAAUGGACGAAAGUCUGACCGAGCAACGCCGCGUGAGUGAAGAAGGGUUUCGGAUCGUAAAACUCGGUUGGUAGAGAAGAACGUUGGUGAGAGUGGAAAGCUCAUCAAGUGACGGUAACUACCCAGAAAGGGACGGCUAACUACGUG